This 642-nucleotide ribosomal RNA is filed under the name uncultured bacterium. RNAcentral's name for it is "bacterial SSU rRNA". It matches the Rfam family "Bacterial small subunit ribosomal RNA", at positions 636 to 1282 of the family's 1533-position model. The record is from RNAcentral.
GGUCAGCUGAGUGCAGGAGAGGAAAGCGGAAUUCCUAGUGUAGCGGUGAAAUGCGUAGAUAUUAGGAGGAACACCCGUGGCGAAGGCGGCAUCUGGACUGUAACUGACGCUGAGGCACGAAAGCGGGGGAGCAAACAGGAUUAGAUACCAUGGUAGUCCACGCUGUAAACGAAGAAUACUAGGUGUCGUGCGUCAAAGCCCGGUGCCGCAGCUAACGCAUUAAGUAUUCCGCCUGGGGAGUACGGUCGCAAGACUGAAACUCAAAGGAAUCAACGGGGACCCGCACAAGCAGCGGAGCAUGUGGUGUAAUUCGAAGCAACGUGAAGAACCUUACCAGGUCUUGACAUCCCUCUGAAUGGCGCUUAGCGGCGCAGGUCUUUCGGGACAGAGGAGACAGGUGGUGCAUGGUAGUCGUCAGCUCGUGUCGCGAGAUGUUGGGCUAAGUCCCGCAACGAGCGCAACCCUAACCUUUAGUUGCCAGCACAUCAUGGUGGGCACUCUAGAGGGACUGCCGGUGACAAACCGGAGGAAGGUGGGGAUGACGUCAAAUCAUCAUGCCCCUUAUGAUCUGGGCUACACACGUGCUACAAUGGCCGGUACAACGAGAAGCGAAACCGCGAGGUGAAGCAAAUCUUAUAAAGC